UGCUGAUGUACCUCAUAGUUGGGCUGUACCUUCUUCAGGUGUCAAAUGUGAUGCUGUACCAGGUCGUUCAAAUAAUACCUCUAUUUUUAUACAACGAGAAGGAGUUUACUAUGGUCAGUGCAGUGAGAUUCGUGGAACUAAUCAUGCCUUUACGCGUGCGCCCGGAUACAUAGGCCGACAGCUGAGCCCACUCUGGCUUAGCCGCACCACCCGUGGUAGGGGUGCGAGCCACCCGAUAAGCAAGCUAUUACAGCGAGCCGCUUGAGCAGUAGGGAGCCGAGGAGCAAGGCAGUAGAUAAGAUCUAAUAUUGGGCCAGGCUCCCGGUAGAGCAGGGGAAACGGUUAGGAUAACCAACUUGAAACGCGGAGCCCGAGCGGCCGGCGAGCGAGUGGUUAGUGGCAAAUAGCGCCCUAGUUGAUGGCAUUCCUCUCUGCGGCUGGCACUAGAGGAACCACGGGACACUCCAUACAAAGGCAAACUCGUCUUAGGGAUGAGACGCCCGCGCAAGGACCUCAAUUCUCAUUAGGAGGUCGAACCAAGGAACUAUAGAAGUCGGGGAUACCCCGUCCCAUGGCAACGCAACAGUGUCCUGAGGAAGGAGUUUAGAGGCCUUAUAGUAGCACAGACCUUUAAUUCCAGGUCAUGCGAAGGGGGCCAGUCCAAGAUCUACAACUCUUCUUAUUAAAUGAAAAGACAAGAGACGCUCUCAACGGUUAGGCGCCACUCUAAGUUAUUCUCAAGCUUCCGAGAGGCGAAGGGAUUUCACCUAUGAUCUGAUUAGUAGGCAACCAACGUGUACUUUUCGUGUUGUUGACGUUGACUUUCAAGCUCAUUUGGAAGGAUUCUCGGAGCUACUCCCAGCUCAAACUAUGGUCGCAGAGGUCUCUUAGUUCAGAUCUAGGAGUGUGAGCAGUACGAGCGGAAAGGCUCUCAUACUGUUUUGAGGGAAGGGGGCUACGAUGCCAAACCUUACCCCUAUCCAUCGUCGUAGAAGCAGUUUCUUUGAAAGAUUAUGGUUCUCGGGUAUUCAAUCAAUUAAUCCUCCAAACCAACUAACCCGUGGAAGCGGAAGCAAUAGUAGGGUGAGGGAAGUGGGAAGCUCAAGGAAGGCUUCGCUCGCUCAAUUCGCUCGGUGGAGUGCAUAAGCCCUAUUUCUUUUAUUGAAGUAGUAGAGGCCUAACUACACGAGCUCGUAAGUCAGGAACGAGUCUUGUAUACGAACAGCUUCCCCUAGUCUUCUGUGCUUCUGGCGAAGCUUAACGCACUAUUCUAAUAUAGGCAUUAGAGGCUAACUCCUUUUAAGGCCGACCACUACAUAGGAGCGAUAGCGAAGCCAAGCCGUAUAAAGGCGAGCAGCCCUUAUAGCAAUAGCAAACGGCCUACUUAUAGCCCUAUUUCGUUUUAGCCUUUCCUUUCUUCAGGGACUUCAACUUACAAGCUCAUAAAUGUCAAUUCAUAAAUCCAGAGACCUGAGCUAGUGACCAAGAAAGACCCAAAUCCAAUAGAUCAAGAACGGCGAACCUACUUUCAUCAAAGAAUUCAUUGAAGACGUUAAUAAGGAUUUCGUGGAUGGAUAGAAGCACUAGCUACUCAAAUCGCUUCUAUAUACUUCUUUCUUAUUAAUGGCAGGAUAUCAAUCUAUCGAAUUCUAGGCCCAGAGCGAGCAGCAAUGGCAAAAGAUGGAGGAGAAUGUUGUGUUGUAUGGGAGGCAAGGCAGGAUAGGAUCUCUUUUAACAGCAAAAAGCUCGAAGCGAAAGAGGGCCGAUCCUACAUUCCAAAUAAUGAAGCGAAAGAGGGCCGAUCCUACAUUCCAAAUAAUAGCAUUCGCAGUGGGAAUCAAUAAGAGAGAGAGCUAUUUGCAUUCACAGACAGUAGGAAUCAAUAUUGGAAUUCGCGCCUCACCUUUCUUUCUUUGUGAAGAUUCGGGGUGGAGCCUUAGAACAGGCCAGGCCCCUUGGGACGGUUAGGAGCAUAAUGUCUUAACCACUAAUACCGCUUGGAGACAAACCAACCCAUAGGAAUCUGAUGCCUCUUUCAAUUGAUGCUCUUUAGUUCUGCUUUCUAUUCAUUCUCUUUUGUGCAAUUAUUCAGAAUGAUCGGCUAAUAGCAUAGCACUACGAUGAACUACGAGACGAGCAAAUAGCACUCUUCAUUAUAUACUUACUCGGAACUACGAGCAAAUUGCACUCCUCUUACGAGCCACUCCCUAAAGUAAUAGUAAUCUAAGCUCACUCCUCUUACGAGCCACUCCUCUUACGAGCAAAUAGCACUCCUCAUUAUAUACUUACUCGGAACUACGAGAAUAUUCCAUUCAUUCUAAAAACAUUUCUAGUAACUGACUGAAAAGGACUUAUGCAUCAGUCUUAUUCGCUCUGCUAGACAAAAAGCAGAAAUAUUACUAAAUCAAACGAGUCCUUCCUUAAAGAAUAAGGAUCCGGGGGUUUCCUAUUGGUCAAAUACUAGAGGCUGACUCGGGGAAUUAGGAUAACCCUCUUUGCUUUCGAUAAAGGGGCUUCUUUCUUUUCUUUCUCGAUCUUAUUACGCUUUCACAACGAAAGGAAAAGGAAGAGCACUAUGUCUUCAUUCUUCCAAUGCUCACCACUGAUAUGAUAUGCCCUGGAAAAAAGCUUGAUAGAAAGAUUCCAUUCUCGAUAGAGCAAGCUGAGGAACACCUGCACGUACGAAAGGAACCAAGACUCGGGUUUUCUUGUUUCAUAGCUAUAGAAUUCCAUUAAGGUUCUCGUUAGAUGGUCUAAUGGAUAGGACAGAGGUAUAAUAGUUCUUUGCUCUCUAUUCUUAGAAAGAAGGAGUUAUAGUUCCAGUUCAAGCACUCCAGAAAGAAGCAACGGAGAAAGAAGGAAGGAUACAUCGUGUCAACAAUCAGAAUUGCACUAAGUAGCAUGGGAAUCAAAGACAGUAAUUUCAGAGUGGAAACCCAGAGGAUAGGAAUGUAACCACUGCAGACUUUGACUAAUGUUUCCGAAACUUGAACUCGUAUUGGUAAGGCUUGAAUGGCUAACACCAAUGGAAAGAACCAAACUGGUAAGUAGGAGAAUGAAAUCACCACUAAUGAAUGAGAGAACUACUAAUAAGAGUGGAACAGGGGCAUGAAACCAAUGCAAGUAAGAGUCCAACAGCUAACGAUUAUCCUAGCACUACUAGCCUCGAACCUUGCUCUAAUAGCUUUAGUUCUUGAACCACUACCUUUGGAUCUUGCUCUGCUGACGCUGCCCUUGCUUUAUUGAAGUCCUCCGAUCCGCUCUUGAUGGCUGUUACUCUACCCUCAAUGCCUAUGUUCUAGGUUCCAACUGAACUGCCCUUUGAAUAAAUAAAAGAAUCAAGAAAGAAACUACCGAUAAAAAGAAUAACCUUCCUUCCUAUUGGUCAGUAUCCAUUGAUCCGGAUCCUUGCUUCCACAGAUCAGUACACCUAUAUCCCCUAACAAAGUCUACCGCUACUAUCUCUAAUACCUUAACAAGCAACAGGGAAUUCACCAGUGCCCAAUCAGACUGAAAUACAGAAUACACAGUAUACCAAUAUGAAACUACAAUAUCAAUAGUAGAAAUCGAUAAUGAAAUGGGUACUAUAAGCAUGGAGCAGUGUCUACAAGCUGUGAAACAAGAAAGAAGGGAAUUUCGCUACCGGUAUCGAGGUUCGAGCCCAUAAUAGAGAGAAUGAAAGGAGUUCGAAUUUAAAGAAUACAAAUAAGAAGUAAGGUACGCCCCAGUGCUUCUAGUAUGAAGGGAACAUUUAGGGUACGACCAGUGAGUGCAUAUAGAUUAAGCGGAAGUAGUAGAUCAUAGAAUCCAAACUCA
This 3816-nucleotide long non-coding RNA is filed under the name Musa acuminata (dwarf banana). Lineage: Eukaryota; Viridiplantae; Streptophyta; Magnoliopsida; Zingiberales; Musaceae. The record is from RNAcentral.